This 83-nucleotide transfer RNA is filed under the name Ipomoea nil (Japanese morning glory). It matches the Rfam family "tRNA". Rfam says of the family: Transfer RNA (tRNA) molecules are approximately 80 nucleotides in length. Lineage: Eukaryota; Viridiplantae; Streptophyta; Magnoliopsida; Solanales; Convolvulaceae. The record is from Rfam by way of RNAcentral.
GCUGGUUUGCCCGAGAAGUUAAGUGAGAAGACUUAAGAUUUUUUGCAUAUAAGUGUGCAUGGGUUCGAACCCCAUAGCCAGCA